RNAcentral lists this ribosomal RNA (253 nucleotides) under uncultured bacterium. RNAcentral describes it as "partial 16S ribosomal RNA". It matches the Rfam family "Bacterial small subunit ribosomal RNA", at positions 524 to 776 of the family's 1533-position model. The record is from RNAcentral.
UACGGAGGGUGCGAGCGUUGUCCGGAAUCACUGGGCGUAAAGGGCGCGUAGGCGGCAGGCCAAGCGUGUGGUGAAAGCCCGGGGCUCAACCCCGGGUCGGCCAUGCGGACUGGCGUGCUCGAGCACUGUAGGGGCGGGUGGAAUUCCGGGUGUAGCGGUGGAAUGCGUAGAGAUCCGGAAGAACACCGGUGGCGAAGGCGGCUUCCUGGACCGACACUGACGCUGAGGCGCGAAAGCUAGGGGAGCAAACGGG